AAUGGGUCAGCGACUUAUAUUCUGUAGCAAGGUUAACCGAAUAGGGGAGCCGAAGGGAAACCGAGUCUUAACUGGGCGUUAAGUUGCAGGGUAUAGACCCGAAACCCGGUGAUCUAGCCAUGGGCAGGUUGAAGGUUGGGUAACACUAACUGGAGGACCGAACCGACUAAUGUUGAAAAAUUAGCGGAUGACUUGUGGCUGGGGGUGAAAGGCCAAUCAAACCGGGAGAUAGCUGGUUCUCCCCGAAAGCUAUUUAGGUAGCGCCUCGUGAAUUCAUCUCCGGGGGUAGAGCACUGUUUCGGCAAGGGGGUCAUCCCGACUUACCAACCCGAUGCAAACUGCGAAUACCGGAGAAUGUUAUCACGGGAGACACACGGCGGGUGCUAACGUCCGUCGUGAAGAGGGAAACAACCCAGACCGCCAGCUAAGGUCCCAAAGUCAUGGUUAAGUGGGAAACGAUGUGGGAAGGCCCAGACAGCCAGGAUGUUGGCUUAGAAGCAGCCAUCAUUUAAAGAAAGCGUAAUAGCUCACUGGUCGAGUCGGCCUGCGCGGAAGAUGUAACGGGGCUAAACCAUGCACCGAAGCUGCGGCAGCGACACUGUGUGUUGUUGGGUAGGGGAGCGUUCUGUAAGCCUGUGAAGGUGUGCUGUGAGGCAUGCUGGAGGUAUCAGAAGUGCGAAUGCUGACAUAAGUAACGAUAAAGCGGGUGAAAAGCCCGCUCGCCGGAAGACCAAGGGUUCCUGUCCAACGUUAAUCGGGGCAGGGUGAGUCGACCCCUAAGGCGAGGCCGAAAGGCGUAGUCGAUGGGAAACAGGUUAAUAUUCCUGUACUUGGUGUUACUGCGAAGGGGGGACGGAGAAGGCUAUGUUGGCCGGGCGACGGUUGUCCCGGUUUAAGCGUGUAGGCUGGUUUUCCAGGCAAAUCCGGAAAAUCAAGGCUGAGGCGUGAUGACGAGGCACUACGGUGCUGAAGCAACAAAUGCCCUGCUUCCAGGAAAAGCCUCUAAGCAUCAGGUAACAUCAAAUCGUACCCCAAACCGACACAGGUGGUCAGGUAGAGAAUACCAAGGCGCUUGAGAGAACUCGGGUGAAGGAACUAGGCAAAAUGGUGCCGUAACUUCGGGAGAAGG
This 1129-nucleotide ribosomal RNA is filed under the name Escherichia coli. RNAcentral's name for it is "partial 23S ribosomal RNA". It matches the Rfam family "Bacterial large subunit ribosomal RNA", at positions 614 to 1746 of the family's 2925-position model. Lineage: Bacteria; Pseudomonadati; Pseudomonadota; Gammaproteobacteria; Enterobacterales; Enterobacteriaceae. The record is from RNAcentral.